Long non-coding RNA from Rattus norvegicus (Norway rat), 490 nucleotides. Ensembl lists it as uncharacterized. NCBI's taxonomy places the organism in Eukaryota, Metazoa, Chordata, Mammalia, Rodentia, Muridae. The record is from Ensembl.
AAAUUAUCUCACAAAAGCAACUUGAAGAAGGAAGGGUUUACUCUGACUCACGGUUCAAAGGAUGCAGUCCAUCGGCUGAGAAGGUUUAGUGGCAGAGGCUGGUCACAUUGUAUCUAUUGUCUGGAGGCAAAGAAGAGAUAAAUGAAGUCGAAUGUCCUCUGUUUCAGUCGUGAUGGUAUUACCAGUGGUUAAGCCUGUGCCUGGUGUAGGAGGGUCUCCACAAAUCCUUCCUGUGUCACACAAACACGUCUUCCUCUUUUCAUGCAGUUGCUUAGCUGCUGUCUGAGGGUCCUGGAAACAGCUGGCAGCUUCGCUGAGUGUAGCGACUGCGUAGGACCCCACGUAGUACACUGAACUGGUACAGGAGCAUGACCCAGUGUGAACUGGACAGAAUCACCUUCCCUGGAAACAACACAAAGAUCCUACGAUGCAGGCAAUGGAAGGGAGAAGACCCAGAAAGAAAAGAAAGAAAGAAAAAGAAAAAAGAAAA